AAUUGUUCAGUGGUUGUCAACAGCGUGAUGCAUUUUAAUCCAAAUCCGUUCAACGGUUCUAAAAAACGGUGCUUUAGAAAUUUUGAGCAAUGUACUCCAAAUACCUUGUCCUUAAGGACAAACGUCUUAAUAUCCCGCUUCAACAUUGCAUCAAACCUUCAGAUGCACAAAUCUCAAGAAGCAAGCUUCAAACAGCAAUGCUUUUUAUUAUUCUGUUCUUGCUCACUUGUAAUUAGCUUAAAAUAAAUACUCAGGUGCGAUGGUUUUGUUUACGCAGAGAUUUGUGCCCUCGAAAUCAUGAGUAGGUGCCAAAGUCGGCCAUUGUGGCGGCCAUUUUGGGAUUCUAACAAGGCUGUCCUUAAACUGCUGCAACAAAAGACAUAAUAAUGCACUACAUCCACCAAAAUUCUGAUUCGAAAAAAUACUGAACUCUGCGAAAAUCUCUCCAAUACCCACGGAAUCCAUCAAUAUUCCAUUUUUUUCUAAUCAGAAAAUAUUACCUGAACGUAAGUUGCAAAGAAUAGGCAAUUCCGUGAAGUGGAAUAUGCACAUUUUGUGAGUUUGUUGGGAACGGGAUGCGAUCCAAAGUCGUCGGCGUGGAAGGCAUGCUUGAUGGAUAAACACAAGGUAUGCUCCCUCGUUUUGCAUUGUUAUUACUGAAAAGCGACAAAUUCUGUGACUACCAUUUUUAAAUUCCAGAAAUUUUGCACAGAACCGAUCCGGCCAAUUACGGGACACAGCGGAGAUGAACGCACGAAAAUGGAUCCAUAGUACACGUGGUCAAGACAUAAAACUGCGGAAUGCUUGCAAAUUCACAAGAAAUUCGACAAAUGCGAAACUCAUUGUAGAAUUAGGGGUUGUGUGCUAUUAGUGGACCCUGCGCCUACAGUUGACCCCCUUCAGAAAAACUCAAAUAUAAAUGCCCAAAACAACUGCUUCCAGGCAACUUCCACCGGGGGAACAUCAAUUACAUAGCUACACAGCAGUUCCUAACAAAUAAAUGACCCAGUGGCCGCAACAAUCGGUUAUUUUAAUUAUUUAAUGAAUGUAAAUACUCAAAAAGGUCCACUAUACGCACACUCAGGGAGGGUCCACUAUAGGCACCGUCGGCGGCGUGACAGCCAACAUGGAAAUCAAAUUGGGGGUCCACUAUAGGCGCCAAGAUAUUUGUAAAUAAUCCAAUAAUGGACCCCGGUGGUGUCCAUUCACGGAGACAAAUGUCGUUCGUUUGAAACAAAAAUAUUCAUGUUUAUUCGGUAAACUGAUAAAAUAUUUAAAACUAAAAUAUAAAUUUUUAAAACAAGCUCAUUUACAUAUUGAUUUCUACAAUACCCAUUGAAGAGCCCCCCGUUUCGCCGUCGAGAACAUAAACAAAACUCUCAAGUUCCAGCUGCAUCACCAAACAAGAUUUCCUCUUGCAAAAAAGGCAAGUUUCACCAAAAGUUUCCACGAAAUCUGAUUGAUUUCGGGAGCGUAUGUUAUCUACAUGAUGUUGGCAUUGAAAGUGCCACGCGGGAAGUGGAUUUUCCUAGAGAAGAAAACAAAUAUUUCCGUAGGGCCGACCUGUCACAAAAAAAAAACAAAAAUUUUUACAUUUGUUUCUAACAUAACCUGUCAGAAGAUACAUGUUUGUUUCAAAAAUGGAUUGAAUUUGCUUCAAAUGUGACGUUCGAUUUGCUCCAAACAGUUUUAUUUUUGUUGCCAGAACAAAUUGACAAUUUAUUUGAGUUUACCUGAAAUAUUUUUGAUUUUACCAUGCUUUUUUCUGCGUGUUAUAGGCAACAUCGAUGCGUAUUUUCAAAUGCGUAUUUCACUGGAAUAAUGUAUUAAUGUUGUAUGUUCAACGUUCUUAACACAAAGAGGGGACGUGAAACUUGUAAAAAAAAAUCCACUUUGGAACAAUCCACUAUCUUAAAAUAGCUAAAGAGCCACAGAAGUAAAUUUCGAUGGCUUAGGGGGUCCACUACUAGUACACGCAGAAAAAAGCAUGGUAAAAUCAAAAAUAUUUCAGGUAAACUCAAAUAAAUUGUCAAUUUGUUCUGGCAACAAAAAUAAAACUGUUUGGAGCAAAUCGAACGUCACAUUUGAAGCAAAUUCAAUCCAUUUUUGGAACAAAAAUGCAUCUUCUGACAGGUUAUGUUAGAAACAAAUGUAUUUUUUUUUUGUUUUUUUUUUGUGGCAGGUCGGCCCUAAGGAAAUAUUUGUUUCCCAAUUAAAUUUACAAAGUCAUUACCUUCUCUAGGAAAACCCACCAGCCGCGUGGCACUUUCAAUGCCAACAUCAUGUAGAUAACAUACGCUCCCGAAAUCAAUGGGAUUUCGUGGAAACUUUUGGUGAAACUAGCCUUUUUUGCAAGAGGAAAUCUUGUUUGGUGAUGCAGCUGGAAUUUGAGAGGGGGCUCUUAAAUGGGUAUUGUAGAAAUCAAUAUGUAAAUGAGUUUGUUUUAAAAAUUAAUAUUUUAGUUUUAAAUAUUUUAUCAGUUUACCGAAUAAACAUGAAUAUUUUUGUUUCAAACGAACGAAAUUUGUCUCCGUGUACCCAAACCCUAGCUUUAAGUUAAAACACUUUGGCGAGUUUCAAGGAUAGUUAAAAUAUCAAAUUCGAAAAUAUGAUGAAAGCUUCAAGUUCAAGGCUCCUCAAACGUCAAAUCUUUGUAUUAAAUAUGCUCGACAAAAAAAUGGACCGCAAUUGGAAAUUGGUAGUCAACUCUUAACCUAGAAUGUGAAUUGUUUAUUCUUCACAACUACCUUAAGGCGAAACUGGAAGCAUUUUUUCAUUUUUCUGGUUUUUGAUUUUUCAUUAAAUAAUAAAGCAAUAUUUUCAAAAUCGGUUUUCGUACACAUGUAGAGUAUGGAUCAAGGAAUCUUCCGAUUUUUUUUUGUGGUGGAAAAUGUUUUCCAUUUUUGCAGAAACCAUUUUUUGUGAUAUUUUGUUCAAAAAUGGUUUCUGCAAAAACGAAAAACAUUUUCCACAACAAAAAAAAAAUCAGAAGAUACCCUGAUCCAUACUCUACAUGUGUACGAAAACCGGUUUUGAAAAUAUUACUUCGUUAUUUAAUUAAAAAUCUAAUACCAAAAAGUGAGGAAAUGCUUCCAGUUUCGCCUUAAGGUAAUAUUUUCAGAUGAGAAGAAUGAAAUAUCGAUGGAUUCCGUGGGUACUGGAGAGAUUUUCGCAGAGUCCCGGAAUGUUUCGAAGCGGAAUUUUGGCGGAGGUUGUGUGAUGAUGUGGGGAGCGUUUGCAGCAUUAUUAUGUCUUUUGUUGCAGCAGUUUACAUCAUAUUUAUGUCUUUCAGGAAUGUAUUGUGUCAUUUGUAGGGAAACUUAGAUUCAAACUGUUCACAUUUCUGCAAGAUAAUAAGUAAGUACUCUUGAGUUGGGCAACAAUGGCGUGGUUUUAAAGAUUAUCAAUGCCGUAAACGCACAAGCAUGCUCGUCUGAUCUAAACCCUAAUACAAAUCUUUGGAAGAUUAUGGUUUACGGCGUUUAUAAAUAUAACUGGCAUCUAAAGCCAGUUGAUAAGCUAAUAGCAGCAGUUUCUGAUGCUUCUCAUUCUAUUGAUAAAACUUAGUCAUCAGAGAACAAUAAAGCAUUUUUUUAAAUAAUCAAAAAGAAAUGAAAGCAUUUGAACAAAUAAAUUUUGAUUUGGUUUGAUAUUCUGUUUAAUUUUUUGGUGGCGUUAUAAUUUUGAAACAGUCGAAAAAGCAUUUUUUCUUCCAAUACAUCUCAAGAGUCUUGGUUUAUUAAUAAUUCUUGGGCUGAUAGUUGGGCUUUGAGAAUGUAUACUUCUGGCAAGGAAUAUAUAACUUAUCGGAGUUUUUGAAUAAAUGAACUACCGUCAAGGCGCCAUUCACCGUGGGGGUUCCAUUCACCGUGUGCCUUCGAAUAUUGUUUCAUUAUUUCCAUAUUAUGAUUGAAUGAUAUGACAAUUUCCCUUCAAUUUCACCAAUACAACACUAAUGCAUUGUUACCAUGUCAAAACGCUCAUUAAAAACACUUAAGACACAUUCUACCGUGACGUUACAACGUUUUGAUGCAUUCGUAGUCAGAUUUUCCACUAUAACUCAUGAAAACGAUUGUAAACCUUAAAAUAUUUUUUCAUAUUCGGAUUCCUUGUAAAAUUUCUGAUAUAUUUGACCUAUUGAACAUUUAGUUUUCAUUAUAAAAACGUGUUUUAAAUGCGUAUUUGUAGCGUGACGUUACAACGCGCUAGAAUCCGCUCCUCUCUACCGCGCUACCAACAUCUUAAAAAAUCUGCUGGGAUUUUUAAGUUAUUCUGAUUUUUUUUUCUACCAUUGAAAUUUAUUGGUUUGUUCUUCAAUUCAAUGGAAUAAAACAUAUAAAUUUCGGAUUUGUUUUUGGAUAAUCGACUUUUACAUUUCGUGACGUUACAACGCACGUUCAGUUUCAAACAGGGUUCUGCUCGCGUUGUAACGUCACGAAAAUGCACAUCAUGUUUGAAUCAGAAUAAUCAGCCAAAUUUGCCCAAAUUUGUGAAUAUAUUAUUGCAUUAUCUUCACUGCUUCAAGGGGAACUUUAUUCAAUUGAAAAUCCGUUUUGUGAUAAAUGGCUUGUAGGACCAAGUUAUUGCUAUCAGCAGUAUGAAUAUUCCUUCAUGAAGGUUAAUGACAUCGGCACCCAUCUUCGGCUUAGUACCAACUAUAUUCUUCUAAUUUUAUCCCAAAGACUAGACCGCUGAGAUCCUUCAGCAUAGAAUCCAUAGACCGCUGAGAUUUUUCAGCAUAGAACCAAUCACGCCGUCGCGAUAAACAUUUCUUAAAUAAUCUAUGCAAUGCCAUCAAUUCAAGUAAAAACGCUUAAAGAUGUGUGCAAGAAUUUAUUGAACCAAAGGCAUACCAGAGGAUCUGCAUACAACUUAGGACCCUUAAACCAACUUCUGUGAUCUCAGAGAUAAAUAGACCACAGUGAUAAAAACAAUCUUAAUUACUUAGAGAGUUGGUGUCUUUGGCAAAGUUGUUUGAUAAGUCACAACCAUUGGACGUGAGAUUUCGCGAUGCUAAAUAAAACUUUAUAAUAAUUUGCAAAUGAUUAGAAUUUCUCAAAAAGUUUCCUACGAGUUCUGACUAGCAGUCAAAAUUUGAAAAUUUUUGGACAUUUUUAUUUUAUUUUCUGAAUAAAUAUAAUGUGCAUGAUUUUUCAAGAUGUCAACUACCACUAGGCAAAUAGUACAUUAAGCCAAACGACUUUUAAACUGUAAAUCUUUGGAAAGUUAAACAACUCCCUAAGUAUUCAAGGACCUGAUAUAUAUGAAUCGGUGAUUAUUGUGAUAUCAAAGAUAGACGUAACACUGACAUAAUUUUCAUCUCUGUAUAUUUCAAGAUCCUGUAACAGUUGGGAAAAUCAAUCAAUAACUGUUUGUUUAAAUGCCGCUAUAAAAAAAAGCUCAUCAAAUUUUAUAGCUGGGCUCGUUUCCAAUCGGUCUACCGAUGGAGAUUGAGCGUAUAACAGAUAUGCCUAACAGCUGGAUAAGAGACAUGUAGGCGUGAAAUCAUGUGUUCUAAAAAUCUACCUAUGGUCAUAAUAUUUUAUUGGACACCAAUGUAUUGGAGUACCGCGGCGAAGAUAUGGACAAGAAACUGAAAUUUAAAACGAGAUAGAUAGUCGGGGAUAGGUUUGACAGCCCAUUAGAGGAACAAAGACAGUCACUGAAAAAUAGGAAAAUGACCAACUUCCGCCAAAGAUCACACGCAUAUAAUUAAAAAAUAGGUCGGAUGGACCAAAUAAGACUCCUCAUUUCAAUGACUCGUCCAUUUCUAGUUUGCACGCUAAAGCGACAAGUGGUGUCAAGAAUUGUAAAACCUAAAAUCAGUUCCGAAUUAGAAAGUUGCUAGACGGUUUACCUAAAACAGUUAUAUUUUAACCAAAGGAGAAGACCUAAAGCGAAGAACAAAAGUUAUAUAAAAAAACUAUUAGCAAAAGUGUAAAACCGAAAUUGUAUGGAAGAUUAAUUUCGAAGAAUAGUGUUUUGCUGAGGGGGAUCACGUGUUUUACGGUGAUCACCUACUAGCUAGCAACUGUGACCCAAUCAAAUUAAAAAGUGCGCUAGAUAGUGACAUAGCACGAAAUCAUCUGUAAAUCAAAGGUAGAUAUUACAAAGUGGCUUUUAUCAAGGGUGUGUUUGUUAAAAUGGUGUGGCACAGCCACCCACGUGGCUUUCGGUUUUGGAUUCUAAUUUCCAGGAAGGAAUCCGGACCUAUUCCCGGACAGAGAGGUGCCGUUCAGCUUCCUUGACCGAACCUCUUCCCGCCAAAACGUGUCACAGUCAACGACGCGGUUUUCGAGUGACCCUCAAGCACGUGGUCAGCGUCGUCGUAACCCAACAUCGGGACUCGAUCGGGCCGACGCACCAUUCCGGUCGCGGGCGAGUCGGGUUUGAGAUCGACGGCAACCAAGGCGGAAGGUCUUGGACACCUAAGCACCUGAGUCUCGGGCGUACCCUCCCACUGACCCGCAUGUUCGGUGGUUUUCGGAAGAGCGACGACCAGGAGCCCAUCAGCGAGAGGAGAGCAUCAACGGCCGCAACGAACAAGGUACCUAUUAGCAAGUAAGCCACGAACACACCCAGAGAGAUAGGUUAGAUGUAGGUAAGCGCACAUGUUCCACGUAACGAAACGAAUAAAUACAAACAGGCCUAACCUAUUGCGCAUCGUUGAUAACUAGAGGUGUAUAGAGUUUUUUGGACUGAGGAGAAUCUCUUUUUUUUAUUACUCGGUCGGGUCGCGAUCUUGCGACGGGAGAUAUUCCCAAAUCGGUUGAGUGAUCGGUUGGUGCACGUUGAGAGUGAGUACAACAUCAGGAUUGUAAGAGGGAGUCUGAUAGGCUAGAGAACCUGCCCUGAGUGUUUAUCUCGGGUUAGUCGGGCACGAAAAUACCGUACUGGCAUCCUUGUUAAUCAAGGUUGGCGCAGAAGUCAGUAUAGGGAAAGAAGGUACUAUC
Long non-coding RNA from Aedes albopictus (Asian tiger mosquito), 6953 nucleotides. RefSeq lists it as uncharacterized. NCBI's taxonomy places the organism in Eukaryota, Metazoa, Arthropoda, Insecta, Diptera, Culicidae. The record is from RefSeq and is a predicted model, not a curated record. The transcript has 2 exons.